GUUUAUAUGGUAUAUACCAAAACCAAACCAUAUUAUCUAUUUUGGUUCGGUUCGGUUCGGUACGGUUCGGUUUUACCAUAUUGAACAGCCCUAGUGAAAUCCGUCUUUAAAUACAAUUUGUGUUUUAUUUUUAGUUUAUCGUUUCUUGCUUGCAUUAACUAUUUUAACUCGGCGGGAAUGAAAAUUUAAAGGCUUCAAACAAAGUUGACAUUUUCAUUAAUAGUUGUAACAAUCAAACAAAUGAGAAAAAUGGUUUCCAAAUGAGUGUAGACUUUAUACUACUAACCUUUUCUUUUGUUUACAAAAAAAAAAGAGUGUAGACGGGUGGAGAAUGACUUGGUCUAUUGAAAGGAAUUUCUUUGUCUAUCCGGUGCAAAACUAUGAGAGGGGUGACAAGCAAACAUAAUGAUUGAAUCAUUGAAUUAAUAUUGAAUAUGAUAAUGAUGAGUUUAUGACUUCGUCAACUUUUACUUUGAAUAAUGUUUGGUCGUGAUGGUAAAUGAUGACUAUAUGAACAGUUUUGUAAAGAAAUGAAAGACUAUAUAGUCAAUAUCCAUAUAUUAGUUUAUAUCUAGCAAAUUAUCUCUAGUUUUAAUGCAUAUACUGGUUUCAUUGCCUAACAAGAAAACUGUAAUACAUGAUAAUUUCAUAACAACUAAAAUAAAUGUGCUUUAUGCAAACGGCAAGAAACAAAAAUACAACAUCAAAUAGCAUCUUAUGUACGUACUUGGUUAAUUAACAACUUUCUUAAAAGCUAAAGAAUCUUAUGUACUUCUGACAUACAUGCUUGAGAGUUUCAUUUGAUUACCAACUUGCUUCAGAAUUACGAACUGUUAUUUUAGGGUCAGUACGAAAUCCUCUCACUGAGUGGAUCUUAUAUUCGGGGCGAACAUAGUGGCCUUAGCGUUUGUUUAUCUAUGUUAGAAUUGGGGUUUAUUAUGGGUUGGUUUAUUAUGGGCUUCCAACUCAAAACCAAUUGGCUAUUAGUGGAUUGACCCUAACCCUUUAUAUAGUAGUAAAUUAAUUCUUAUAUUUCCGAUGUGGGAUGUUUCUCAUCAAUACCCUCCCUCACGCUCAGACAUCUAGGUCUGAAGCGUGGACAAUGUGGGAAUAACAUCCACAGAGGGCCCAACAUCGGUUUAGUAGUAGUAGUUGUAGUAAAUUAGGUCAAAGGAUCUUAUCGCUCUGAUACCAUGUUAGAAUUAGGGUUUAUUAUGGGCUUCCAACUCAAAACCAAUUGGCUAUUAGUGGAUUGACCCUAACCCUUUAUAUAGUAGUAGAUUAAUUCUUAUAUUUCCGAUGUGGGAUGUUUCUCAUCAAUAAUCUAGUUCAGAUGGUCAGAUCGUUGGUGGAGGAGUUGGGGGAGUACUCCUAAAGCCUGCUGGUCUAGUUCAGGAAUGAGAGGAAAUGGUUCAGCAGAUAAUGGAGAAUAUGAGUAAAUGGCUAAAAUUAGUACUGAUUCAAGUUUUUGAAGAAAAGUGUGUAGAGGUUUGGGCAUAAAUGAAGGUGAGAGUGGGCAUAAUGUCUGAAGGAUUUUUUUCAUGCAAAGGCAGAGUGAGAGUGAGAAAGAGCAGAGAAAACAGUGAUGCUUUUGUUCUUGGUUCAUUGUAAUAUUUUAGGAACUUCACAUUCUCGUUUUAUCUUUCUUGAGUUCUUUUUCUUCAUAUAAUCCGUUUUUUUUUUCUUGCUGAGCGUUUUUUCUGGCUGUGCAUUUUAGAAAUAUACACAUUUUGUUUAGAUAAUUGGCUUUUAAGUUAAACUUUGUCAUGUUUAUAUGAAAGUCUCUUUUGAUAAUGCCAAUUAUAGUUUUUCAUU
Long non-coding RNA from Brassica napus (rape), 1815 nucleotides. RefSeq lists it as uncharacterized. The transcript is spliced from 2 exons. Lineage: Eukaryota; Viridiplantae; Streptophyta; Magnoliopsida; Brassicales; Brassicaceae. The record is from RefSeq and is a predicted model, not a curated record.